AGAAUUACAAAGUUUACUUUUAAAAUUUUUAGACUUUCUAUUUAGGAUCAAUUUAUUAUAAUGUUCUCUUCUAUACUCUUUAAAUGACAAACUUUUUAUCAAUAAUCACAUUAAACAAUUUGCUAUUAAAAGUAAACUCUGAACGUGUCAAUUUUCAUUACUAUCUAACAGUUUUACCGUGCAUAAUGUCAAAUGUAUUUUGUCAUUCUGCAUAUCGUAUUUCGUAAUUAUUACCAUGCAAUCUUUAGAGAAGAAAAAAGCUAUACGGUUAUACGAAUUCUCUCAUUACAACAUAAAAAUAAUUUCGCAACUGAAAAUCUUAAGCUGCUGCUCGAUUAUAGAUAUGGGAGUGCAAGAAAAAUCAAACGACUCUAACCUCGCUACACCCAAUCAUGCGAUGCCACAAUACAAGAGAGCUACUUAGUCUCCGGUUACGUUGAGCCGCACCGCUACGCUACCUUGGCGAGACACGUUGCCCCGUGCCAUCGACGUGCGAGUUUGCUUUGUAGCCACAUUUUUGUACACGUCUAGACAGUCUUGCGACCCAAUAUUUCUGUUCGUCAGGACUACCAGCCAAUAUUAAUAAUUCACGAGCACUGUUUGGAUCGUAAUGUAAUUUGCAGGGUGCUAUGGCAUCUUCCUUUUUGUCCAAAUGCUCCUUAUGAACUUUUAUACGACACCCUGUACACACGCAAUAACAAUUUCAUUACAUAUUUUGUUAUAAGUAAUUUUUUAUUUUAUGGGGCAGAUUUUUUAUUUUGCUUGUUGACCAAAGAAAACGGAUCAUGUCACAUCGUUAUGAAUUUAAUAAAAUUUAUUACAA
Molecule: long non-coding RNA, 823 nt
Organism: Bombus pascuorum
Lineage: Eukaryota; Metazoa; Arthropoda; Insecta; Hymenoptera; Apidae
Exons: 2
Source: RefSeq, a predicted model, not a curated record